This 102-nucleotide Y RNA is filed under the name Cavia aperea (Brazilian guinea pig). RNAcentral describes it as "Y RNA (ENSCAPG00000003713.1)". It matches the Rfam family "Y RNA". From Rfam's summary of the family: Y RNAs are components of the Ro ribonucleoprotein particle (Ro RNP), in association with Ro60 and La proteins. The Y RNAs and Ro60 and La proteins are well conserved, but the function of the Ro RNP is not known. Lineage: Eukaryota; Metazoa; Chordata; Mammalia; Rodentia; Caviidae. The record is from RNAcentral.
GGCUGGUCCCAGUGCAGUGGUGUUNNCAACUAAUUGAUCACAACCGGUUACAGAUUUCUUUGUUCCUUCUCCAUUCCCACUGCUUUACUUGACUAGCCUUAA